This 705-nucleotide long non-coding RNA is filed under the name Triticum aestivum (bread wheat). RNAcentral describes it as "long non-coding RNA (TAES_LNC006256)". The record is from RNAcentral. Lineage: Eukaryota; Viridiplantae; Streptophyta; Magnoliopsida; Poales; Poaceae.
UGAGAUCAACAUGUUGUAGUCCAUUCUAGUUCAAAUUAUUCAAUCUUAUAUUCAUUCGAAAUAAUCAAAAAUAAUGUUGACUUUCCAUCACAACAAUCUGCAACAACCAAUAAACAAUAAGCUUCGACAACAAACAAUUUCAACAUAGGUAGCUAGUAAUUUCUAUCCAUCUGUAUCACUUUUUCUUCCCUCUGUACAAUAAUGGCAUCAUCACACAAAUAGUGGCGGCAUUAAUACAAAGCAAAAUGAACAAAAUUGCUCCAAAUCUCAAUUCUAAUAUUUCCAAUCUAUGUACAUAUGUACAAAGUUUCCCCAAGCAGAGCACACAAUAGGUCAUAGAACACCACACAGCAGCAACACAUGAAGCAUCCCUCUGCACAAAAGUAAAGCAGAGGCACACAAAGCAUAGCAAACAAAAAUUCCCAAUAUUUCUCCCAUCUGUUCUUACCUUUGAUCACAACAUACAAAUCCGUAGGAGUAGUAAUCUUAUUCUCAGCCACAAUCAGCGUGUAUAUCCUCCUAGAAAUCCGGUGCCAUCUCCAGGAACCUCGCCAUAACAAAUUGAGAAUAUACCAUGUAGUAAAUUUAGUGUGAGACCAAAUCAUUUAUCAAAUGGAACAAAUAGAGAAAAUGGGAAUUACUUGGCGUGGAGGUCUUACACAAAAGAAAGGAGUUGAGGAAAUCUACCAUACAUCUCAUGGCAAG